Tachyglossus aculeatus (Australian echidna) is the source of this 138-nucleotide small nucleolar RNA. The record is from RefSeq and is a predicted model, not a curated record. NCBI's taxonomy places the organism in Eukaryota, Metazoa, Chordata, Mammalia, Monotremata, Tachyglossidae.
UCCCUCUCAGGAUCUCACCUGGAGAGUUUCCAGUACUCUGCCAGUCUUGGCUAUGGGAGAGAGAGUCAGGGAGAGGCCUACCCAUUCCAUUCCUAGCUUGGGAAGGGGGUAGCGAGUGGAAGGUAAUCUGCUACAAGU